GCAGUAGCCACGGUAAUACGAAGGGGGCUAGCGUUGUUCGGAAUUACUGGGCGUAAAGCGCACGUAGGCGGAUAUUUAAGUCAGGGGUGAAAUCCCAGAGCUCAACUCUGGAACUGCCUUUGAUACUGGGUAUCUUGAGUAUGGAAGAGGUGAGUGGAAUUCCGAGUGUAGAGGUGAAAUUCGUAGAUAUUCGGAGGAACACCAGUGGCGAAGGCGGCUCACUGGUCCAUUACUGACGCUGAGGUGCGAAAGCGUGGGGAGCAAACAGGAUUAGAUACCCCUGUAGUCCCUGUCUCUUAUAC
RNAcentral lists this ribosomal RNA (302 nucleotides) under uncultured bacterium. RNAcentral's name for it is "partial 16S ribosomal RNA". It matches the Rfam family "Bacterial small subunit ribosomal RNA", at positions 508 to 807 of the family's 1533-position model. The record is from RNAcentral.